Elaeis guineensis (African oil palm) is the source of this 87-nucleotide small nucleolar RNA. RefSeq annotates it as small nucleolar RNA SNORD34. NCBI's taxonomy places the organism in Eukaryota, Viridiplantae, Streptophyta, Magnoliopsida, Arecales, Arecaceae. The record is from RefSeq and is a predicted model, not a curated record.
AAAAUCCUGUGAUGAUCUGCAGAGUUAUUUCCUACAUUGUUUGACUAUGUUACUGUGAUAAACAUCUCGAACCAUUCUGAGGCUACU